AUGUGUGUGAGUCAGAUGAGUAGGGAAUAUGAUAAUAUGAAGGCCCCGGAAAAUAUCACUAUUCAUACAAAAGAACAUACUGGUGCAUCUCCCGUUCCUGGAAUAGAAAGAACUGCAGUUAAUGAGGAGGUUAUUCAACCUCAGCCCAUUGUUACGGAAAGUUUUGCUCAUCCACAGGCCAGCACCUUCGGUUCGGAUGUUUUGCAGAAAGACCAUUCAUACUUACCUGCUGAUAUCCCCAAACCAAGCAGCGAACCAGAAGCUAUCACUUUGCUGGACAAUUUGGUUGAGGCAGAGCACAACAACUCCGGUUUGACUCUUCUUCAAACCCACCAUUCAAACUUACCUGCUGCUCAGUCUAAACCAACAACUGAACCAACACCUAUCACUUUACCAAUAGCUCAAUCAUCACCAAUGGAAUGCCAAGAAAUGGCUCAAUCUGAUAAAGAAGAACUUGACAAGUGUGUCGAAAUGAUUCUCUUUAUGAGUUCGGACAUGCCCAGCAAUAUGAAUGAGAACCAAGAAAUUGCCUCCCAUGGAAUUGAGAACAACUUAGCCCUAAGUCAUCAUAUCAAGGAAGUGCUGACCGAAAACUUAGAACAAUCUUUUGCAUUAGCAGAAAUGCAGACUCAGUGCACUGCAGGAGACGUAGAAUCAUCAUCUUCUAUCAGUACACAAGAAGUCUUUGCAGACCCAUCCCAAAUUGAGCUAACUGGACAAAAUGAACAUGAAUCCGAGGACCAUCCCUCCGACAGUUCAAGUGAAGCUGUAAGCUCUGAGCGCACUGAAGACGAUGAUAUCUCAAAUUUUGGGCAGCAAGUUUCAGACUCACAUACUUGUCGUUUAACUCUAAGACACAACUUGAGAGAUGUACAGAUAGUUGACAUUGCGGAUGAACCUUCAUCUCCUAAAACAAUUGAUUGUAAGCACAUUCGUCAGCUUGAUGAUCCAUUAUCAGACGGAGAAAGUUUUGUUUAUGCUGGUAGCAUCAAUGAAUCCAUGAGGAGUAGAAAACAGCGUUAUCAGAAGAAAUAA
This 1035-nucleotide ribosomal RNA is filed under the name Triticum aestivum (bread wheat). RNAcentral describes it as "partial small subunit ribosomal RNA". Lineage: Eukaryota; Viridiplantae; Streptophyta; Magnoliopsida; Poales; Poaceae. The record is from RNAcentral.